This 498-nucleotide ribosomal RNA is filed under the name uncultured bacterium. RNAcentral's name for it is "partial 16S ribosomal RNA". It matches the Rfam family "Bacterial small subunit ribosomal RNA", at positions 28 to 507 of the family's 1533-position model. The record is from RNAcentral.
GACGAACGCUGGCGGCGUGCCUAAUACAUGCAAGUCGAACGAGAGCGACCGGUGCUUGCACUGGUCAAUCUAGUGGCGAACGGGUGAGUAACACGUGGGUAACCUGCUCAUCAGAGGGGGAUAACAUCCGGAAACGGAUGCUAAAACCGCAUAGGUCUUCGAGCCGCAUGGCUUGAAGAGGAAAAGAGGCGCAAGCUUCUGCUGAUGGAUGGACCCGCGGUGCAUUAGCUAGUUGGUGAGGUAACGGCUCACCAAGGCCGUGAUGCAUAGCCGACCUGAGAGGGUGAUCGGCCACAUUGGGACUGAGACACGGCCCAAACUCCUACGGUAGGCAGCAGUAGGGAAUCUUCCGCAAUGGACGCAAGUCUGACGGAGCAACGCCGCGUGAGUGAAGAAGGUGUUCGGAUCGUAAAACUCUGUUGUUAGAGAAGAACAAGUGCUAGAGUAACUGUUAGCGCCUUGACGGUAUCUAACCAGAAAGCCACGGCUAACUACGUG